CACUUUUCGGCGUUAAAAUGAGGGCGUCAGCCUUUGAGGCUCAACUCGGCGGCUGGGGCUGGGCGGAAUCAAGGAUUCCUCUCGGGAUUAAGCAGCCGGGUCGGCACGCGAGGCGGAAGCCCGGUCCAUUGGGACAUUCAUCACUGAAGAACUACAUCAUCAUUUUUAACAGCUGCACAGUCCUCUUGUUUGAUAAGUCAAUUUAUUUCAUUUUGGUAUUUCCAAUUUUUAAACAUUAUAAACAAGACUGUGAUGAACACUAAGUAUAUGUGCUAAUAAGAAAGAACUUUCCCAGAAGCUUCUGGCAGCCUUCUCUUGGAGUAUGUUUGGUCAAAAUUGGGUCAUAGGCUCAUUCCUGAUUUAAAUCACUGGAAAGGGAAAGUGGUCAAGAGAAUUGACCUAAUCUGAGCUCAUCCCUGGAGUUGGAAUGAUUCACGUGUGCUUAGGGGUGGAAGGAGGGGAGAGAAGGGUGGUAAGGUCUGGAUUCCUGAAAAAAAAGGAAAAAGGGGGAUCAGGUGUCCACCACUAGUAGUUUUGAACCUUUCAAGGUAUUUAAAACAUGAUGAAUGUAUUAAUUUUUUCACCCUAAAAGCAGUGUUUAAGAGUGCUAGUUGUGAAGCAGGGCUACUAUAAUUUUUUUUUCAUCUGUUUGAUAGAUCUGAUAAUAAUGUUUGAUUUUUUUUUAUCAGUAGUUCAUAAGAAACUAUCUUUAGGAUGAUUCACAACUCUUUAAUAACACUAAAAUAUUCUAUUAAUAGAGAUAUAACAAAAUGACAGGAAAAUUGCUCUAAUUUGAUUCAUAUAAAUUCCAUAGCCACCUAAAAUUAUAGGUUCAUCUCUAUAAAUGCAGAACAAAAUCACUCCUGCCAAUCACUUAUCAAGACAAAUGUUAGACUCUUAGAUGCUUCAUUAGAAUCAUGGAAAUCUCAGAAAUAAGCAGUAAUUUCAUUAAACAAGUUCUUUAAAAAGUUGUUUUUUUAAAUACAUAAGGCAGUUACCAAUUUUCAGUCUUUGAAUUCAUUAAUAAUUGUUAUAGGAUAGAUAUUGGAUGUUAAGAGGGUUUUUUUUUUGUUGUUGUUUUUGUUUGUUUUUCUGGCAGCACCCUUGGCAUGUGGAGAUUCCUGGAUCAGGGAUCAAACUCAUGUCAUAGCAGUGACAACGCCAGAUCCUUAACCUGCUGCACCACAAGUGAACUCCUUGAUGCUAAGUUUUAAAGAUCAAUCAGUGCCAUAUUUUUGGGUAUCAAAUUCAUUACGAGUUUUAAGUCAGUGCCACGAGAGCUUUAUUCUUCUUGUGUUUUUAAAUAUAUUUAUGAGAAUAAAUAAGUUCAGGGAUGUAAUGUACAGCAUGGUGACUAUAGUAAUAAUAGUAUACUGCAUGUUUGAAAGAUGCCAAGAGAAUAGAUCUUAAAAGCUCUCAUCACAAGAAAAAAAUUUGGUAUUUACAUGUGAUGAUGGAUGUCAAUUAGACUUGUGGUUAUUAUUUUACAAUAUAAAAAAAUACUGAAUCAUUCUGAUACCUGGAACUAAUGUUUUAUGUCAGUUAUAUCUCAAUUAAAAAUAAACAGAUUCAUAC
This 1575-nucleotide long non-coding RNA is filed under the name Sus scrofa (pig). RNAcentral's name for it is "lncRNA (ENSSSCG00000045498.2, ENSSSCG00065060350.1)". Lineage: Eukaryota; Metazoa; Chordata; Mammalia; Artiodactyla; Suidae. The record is from RNAcentral.